CCUACGGGAGGCAGCAGUGGGGAAUAUUGGGCAAUGGAGGCAACUCUGACCCAGCAACGCCGCGUGAAUGAUGAAGGUCUUCGGAUUGUAAAGUUCUUUUCUAAGGGAAGAAGACAAUGACGGUACCUUAGUAAUAAGCCUCGGCUAACUCCGUGCCAGCAGCCGCGGUAAUACGGAGGAUGCGAGCGUUAUCCGGAUUUAUUGGGUUAAAAGGGUGCGUAGGCGGUUCGUUAAGUCAGUGGUGAAAUUGCGGGGCUCAACCCCGUCCCGCCAGUGAAACCAGCGAACUUGAGUGGAAGAGAGGUAUGUGGAAUGCGUGGUGUAGCGGUGAAAUGCAUAGAUAUUACGCAGAACCGCGAGUGCGAAGGCAGCAUGCCGGCUUCCGACUGACGCUGAAGCACGAAAGCGUGGGGAGCGAACAGGAUUAGAUACCCGAGUAGUC
RNAcentral lists this ribosomal RNA (442 nucleotides) under uncultured bacterium. Its description in RNAcentral is "partial 16S ribosomal RNA". It matches the Rfam family "Bacterial small subunit ribosomal RNA", at positions 338 to 795 of the family's 1533-position model. The record is from RNAcentral.